This 262-nucleotide long non-coding RNA is filed under the name Helianthus annuus (common sunflower). RNAcentral's name for it is "sRNA HanXRQr2_Chr03g0123851". The record is from RNAcentral. Lineage: Eukaryota; Viridiplantae; Streptophyta; Magnoliopsida; Asterales; Asteraceae.
UGCCUCUGGGAUGUGUGAAAUCGACUUGCCGAAUAAAAGUACCGAAACCUAUGUAAUCUGUGAUUGGGGAUAGCGACUCUACAGUUUCAUCAUCGCUACGGAACGGAGAAUGCACGAGAAAAGAGAUCCCAGCCGGAAUGCCUCUGGGAUGUGUGAAAUCGACUUGCCGAAUAAAAGUACCGAAACCUAUGUAAUCUGUGAUUGGGGAUAGCGACUCUACAGUCGGAAUACCGCUGGGUUAGGGAAAGCAUCGUCUAGUCUC